GGCAAUUCUCAGGUGACACACCCCGGAACUGGGCUCCCUCCUCUCUGGUUCCUGGGUGUGUCACCCAAGAACCCUU
Myotis davidii is the source of this 76-nucleotide non-coding RNA. Lineage: Eukaryota; Metazoa; Chordata; Mammalia; Chiroptera; Vespertilionidae. The record is from Rfam.